UGGCGAAUGCAGGCGGAACUACAGGCUGUCACCCUCCAGGUCGCGGGUUCGAAUCCCGUCGGGCCCGCCCCAUGGGGCCCGUAGCUCAGCGGUAGAGCGGGACGUUUCGCCGUUCCUCGUCGCCAU
Molecule: Y RNA, 126 nt
Filed under: uncultured Alsobacter sp.
Lineage: Bacteria; Pseudomonadati; Pseudomonadota; Alphaproteobacteria; Hyphomicrobiales; Alsobacteraceae
Description: Y RNA-like
Rfam family: Y RNA-like
About the family: In Deinococcus radiodurans Rsr is tethered via Y RNA to the exoribonuclease PNPase and channels single-stranded RNA into the PNPase cavity. Rsr and Y RNA enhance degradation of structured RNAs by PNPase.
Source: RNAcentral